AUACUUACCUGGCAGGACAGCUACCAUGAUCAUGAAGGUGGUUUCCCAGGGCAAAGUGUUACCUGUUGUACUCUGGAUGUGCCGACCCCUGCCAUUUCCCCGAAUGUGGGAAACUUGACUGCUUACUUUGUGGUGGUGGAGGACUGCGUUCAUGUUCUCCCUGG
Small nuclear RNA from Pteronotus mesoamericanus, 164 nucleotides. RefSeq annotates it as U1 spliceosomal RNA. Lineage: Eukaryota; Metazoa; Chordata; Mammalia; Chiroptera; Mormoopidae. The record is from RefSeq and is a predicted model, not a curated record. The transcript has a single exon.